Molecule: long non-coding RNA, 3907 nt
Organism: Alligator sinensis (Chinese alligator)
Lineage: Eukaryota; Metazoa; Chordata; Crocodylia; Alligatoridae
Exons: 5
Source: RefSeq, a predicted model, not a curated record
UUCAGCCAAAAAAUCCAUAUAUCAUGAAGUGAGCUACAAGGAUAUUUUUAGUUAAAUGGAAACUAGUCAUAGGCCCUUAUUAAAAAUCCAGACUUGAAUUGUAGUUCUGAUUCAAAUUCUAUGAUGUGUGCAGCCAAAAUCCUGGAUCUAAACAGCUCUGGUUUUAGGAGUUCAAAAUUUAAAUUUUCCUAAUUUUUGAGGGAUUGUGGGGAAGGAGAAAGAUGAUUUUGUUUAUACUGUCACAACCAAAUUAAGUACUGCCCAUGCCACAAGCAAGAAAUACAUUAAUCAAAAACAGUUUUAGUCCACACUGAAGCCAACUAAGGGUUAAAGAAAAAUCCUUGUUGGUAACAGUUUUUUUUUUUUUACUGUGCAUGCUAACAAAAGAGAUUUAUGGCUGCGUCACAACCAAGAAAUGAAACUUCUAAAGAAACGAAACUUAACCCAUGAUUUAUGAUUGGUCAGGCCGAAAAGGGGUAGCCCUGCUACAAAUCCCUAGAGAUAAUUGACGAUUCUAAUUAAAUUUAUGACGUGGCGAAAAACAAUUGGCUAUCAUACAAACAAAACCCUGCUGCAUUUCCGCCAAAGUCGAAGACAACUCUGUCCACGCCUUAGAGUAAAUCUGACAAUUUGAUCAGUUGUCAGCGUCUUCCCGCCGCAACCUCCCUGGCGUACCCUUGACCCGCAUGCCCGAUAAGCCUGAACCCGCCAACCGCCGGACCGUAUAUAUGUCUGCAGACUGACCGAACGAACUCUAAGCUGUAACUAACUAAGUAUAUCUGACCUCCGUCUUUCACCACCUUGACGGCAAGUCCAGGCAUAAAAAUCAGCUACUGACUCCUGUGACCAACUACCUCCUUCGCAAUCCACUGAGUCACGCUACUGUGCAUAUUGUAAAUAGGGAGAUGCAAGAACUACCAACAGCACAUUAUCUGAACUGUAAAACAAUAAGGUCAAGAUUGUAGCCCCAUUGGACAUGGUGUUCAUCAGUGGUCAGGCAAACCAGGACUGAACCAACAUAACCCCGCUCAUCCUGAAGAGGCAGCUAUUUGGGGCCACUACUGCUUGGGCCACUGCCAUUCCAGCACCCACUUGCCUCAAUGCCACCGCUGCUGCCUCUGUCACCACCAAUGCAUCUGCUGCUGCCAUUACUAAUGUCCCCGCUUCUACCACCUUUGCUGCCACUGCCUCUGCCACCACUUGUCACACGGAUCUGACCUGCAGGAAGCCCCAUAGUACAGAUCAGGCCCAGGGCAUUUCUCCGAGCUGCCUUGUUUAUUCUGUCAUAGUAGGACACCUUCCCAUGCCGUUCUGCAAAGACCUUUUAGGAUAUCAUUUGAAGAACAGGAAGCAAACAGACCAGGCCAACCACAAGCCUUGUCAAACAGUUGUAUAUUCUGGCCUUUUGAGAUCCUCAUCAAUAUAUACUCAAGGAUCAAAAUGCUUUUUAACCUCAACUAAGAUAUCUUUCAAGAGCAUCUCUUCUAUACCGGCUGAAUGACUGCUGAACAACUCAGCAAGAUAAGAAAAAGGAAGAAAAAGGACAAGAGAAGAUAUACUGAUCCAGGCUGCCCAGUGAGACUCAAGAAUGGUGGAAGUAUAUGCAUGAGCAAAGGCAUAAAAAAUGAUAGAAAAAAAAGAGAGGAAUUGAGAGAUGCAACAGGAUUUCUUGCAGCAGUAAAAAAAACAAAACAAAAAAACAAAAACAAAAAAAACAGACUUGGAUUUUAGAGUGCAUUAUUGAUCAGAGCAUGCGAGGCCAGCAAACUAGUAGCCACUAGACAGCGUAAAGACAGUUCCUUUUGGAUAUAAUUUUUCCCUUCCUCCAGGUCUCCAGUCUUCCUAGCGUGAGUAUCUCUGGCAUUCAACUCCACUGGAUAAUAUGAAGCAACGCUAUGAAUACAUAGCAGUAUUCCCACAAUACUGUCUGAUGUACUAUAUUGUAAGACAUAUUUGCAAAUUAUUGAGUUUCUGUUGUUAUGUAUUGUACAAUAUUAUCACUCCUAGCAGUGAAUUGUGAUGAUUUGGGGUAAAAUUCCCUGUUCCAUCCCAUACUCAAUUUUUUUUUGUACCACUGUUGUGCAUUACUGUCCUCCUUAAGGCUACUUUUUGUACUUUGUGUUUUUGUAAGUGGUAUUAAUUCCUAGCUUGUGAAAAAUCAGAUAUUUUAAUCUACAGUACAAAAAUGAAAAUUUCCAAAAUAAAUACCUUUUCUGCCUCCAAAAAUACAUUUAAUCAACCAAUUAUUGCACAUGCAGUACCACAAAGUAACAUAUAAUCUGGCUAUUGCAGACUGUCAAAGCAUGCCCUUAAGAUUUCCACAACCGCACAGCUCAUGUAGUAUCUCUGUCUCAGGUCGCUCAAAGUCAGCAAACAGCAGACACACCUUGCUCCUCUACUUUGCCAACUGUGUGGUCUCACAGAUGGUAUGUAAAAUACAACAUGCAGCAAUAACCUCAGAUUUUUUUCCUCACUAAGAUCCAGACUUUUUAUGAGAUAUCCCUACCCACCCCUCAGUCUUCAAAAGGCAUACUCCACCAUUAUCUUGUAUUAGCUCAGCUAAUAGUUUAAAUGUCCUUCCAACUGUCCCUACUUUAUGUCCAGAUGCUAUAGUUCUGCAAAAGGAUCCCUAAUCCCAUCUUUAACCUGGACAAAGCAGUUCAACUAGUAGGUAUAGCUUCCAUAUUUAUGGCAGUAAGAUACGAUCAGAAGAAAAAUGUAUACAACCUCCCCACCUCCCCACGAAAACAAAGCAAUUAUUGGGUAGAACAGAAGGAUUUAUGGGAAUUUUACCCCAAACACCCCAACUUCACUGAGAAGAGUGAUUUGUAUCAUAUAAAACAUGAAAGCAACCCACUAUACGCUUCCAUAACAUAGUACAUCUGACACUGUCAUGGGGAGACUAUGAUACCCACCCACAGUGCCACACACUCUUUGCUGAUACACUUUGUUAUGAGGAAAUGUUGAACCAGUCAAGACAAUCAAAUGUGGAUGCUCUAUGCCAAAAAAGCUGACCAGGAGACAUAGAGAACAGUUGUUCACCUUCCUCUUUAUUCAACCACUCUUUUCAAAUCCCUGUUUUGUUAAAUUAUUGAUACAUUCCCAUCACUUUUCAUUGCUUGGUUUGUAUCACUGAUUCUGGAAGCAUGCCAAUGAAUCAUACUGCUUAGUGAACACACAAGCAAACAAAGAGUUAUCAUUGUGUAGAAGUUAUUCUAUUCUAAGAAAAACAAUUCACCCAAUUACCUAAUGCCUAAAAGAAAUGUCUAAGGAGAUUUUCAUACAUAAACUUCUAACGGACAGGGAUUUCAAACUGUCAAGAUGUCACUUGAGGAAAAUCCAGUGUUUUAUAGAGAAGGUAUAUACUGGCAUUUAGCAUUUGGAAUUGAUGUGGCAGGAAAGUGAAUAAAGAAAUAUCUGCCACAUUUCCAUUCAAAGACUAAUCACAAUCUAAUAUGUUAGUAACUUCUUUACUAACAUGGAAUGGUAAAGUGUUGAGACUAAACUUUUGUACAUUUGAAUUCAGUUCUGCAAACUGUACAAUAUGUUUCAAAAGGUCAGCACAAACAAUAAUGUCUUGUAACUCAGUCUUCUGGAUACAACCCUCUUCUAGAUACAACCCAGCUAGACUAUUUUAUCAAAUAUAGUAAUGUGCCGCAUUGACCCGUUACCUUUGUGUGUUUUCUCUUUCAUUUAAUGACUUACAUUUAUCUUGCCCCUCUGUUUUGGAUUUGCGCCCAUUAUCAGGAACUGAACACCAAGAAAGGAGAUAAUAAAAAGAAAGGCCCAUUCACUACUUUCUAGAUAAGCUCAGUUUACAUAAGCAAGGCCUAACAGGAAAGGUCAAGACUUCCAUCAAAAUUCUGUAGAACUAAAGUAAAAAGUAGCAAUGCCAUGGCAGCUGUUC